UUGGGUCAAUUUGGUAGAUUUUCUGAAACCUGAUUAGUGCGCUGGUUGAGGCCACACAACUAGCUUUACGAUGCUUCCUACGUCUUUUUCGGUUAUUCGAGGGUUUUUCUUGCCUAACUUGAACGCUUAGUCAAUUACUUUUGUCGCUUUGUUCUUUUCUUUUUUUUUUUUACUAAGUUAUUAUUUCUAUAAAAUAGCAGUAAAAAU
Molecule: long non-coding RNA, 207 nt
Filed under: Gossypium raimondii (Peruvian cotton)
Lineage: Eukaryota; Viridiplantae; Streptophyta; Magnoliopsida; Malvales; Malvaceae
Description: long non-coding RNA (GRAI_LNC009098)
Source: RNAcentral